Molecule: ribosomal RNA, 253 nt
Filed under: uncultured bacterium
Lineage: Bacteria
Description: partial 16S ribosomal RNA
Rfam family: Bacterial small subunit ribosomal RNA
Source: RNAcentral
UACGGAGGGUGCAAGCGUUAUCCGGAUCCACUGGGUUUAAAGGGUGCGUAGGUGGGCAAGUAAGUCAGUGGUGAAAUCUCCGGGCUUAACCCGGAAACUGCCAUUGAUACUAUUUGUCUUGAAUACUGUGGAGGUCAGCGGAAUAUGUCAUGUAGCGGUGAAAUGCUUAGAUAUGACAUAGAACACCAAUUGCGAAGGCAGCUGGCUACACAAAUAUUGACACUGAGGCACGAAAGCGUGGGGAUCAAACAGG